RNAcentral lists this unclassified non-coding RNA (318 nucleotides) under plant metagenome. RNAcentral describes it as "partial contains 5.8S ribosomal RNA, internal transcribed spacer 2, and large subunit ribosomal RNA". The stretch from base 1 to 105 matches the Rfam family "5.8S ribosomal RNA", at positions 50 to 154 of the family's 154-position model. The record is from RNAcentral.
GAAAUGCGAUAAGUAAUGUGAAUUGCAGAAUUCAGUGAAUCAUCGAAUCUUUGAACGCACAUUGUGCCCGCCAGAAUUCUGGCGGGCAUGCCUGUUCGAGCGUCAUUUCAACCCUCGAGCUCCCCUUUCGGGGGGAGCCCGGCGUUGGGGACCCGGCGCUAACAACGCCGGCCCCGAAAUGGAGUGGCGGCCCGUCCGCGGCGACCUCUGCGUAGUAACAACCACUCGCACCGGGACCCGGGCGCGGCCACGCCGUAAAACACCCCACCUUCCGAAUGUUGACCUCGAAUCAGGUAGGAAUACCCGCUGAACUUAAGC